UAGUCGAUGGGAAACAGGUUAAUAUUCCUGUACUUGGUGUUACUGCGAAGGGGGGACGGAGAAGGCUAUGUUGGCCGGGCGACGGUUGUCCCGGUUUAAGCGUGUAGGCUGGUUUUCCAGGCAAAUCCGGAAAAUCAAGGCUGAGGCGUGAUGACGAGGCACUACGGUGCUGAAGCAACAAAUGCCCUGCUUCCAGGAAAAGCCUCUAAGCAUCAGGUAACAUCAAAUCGUACCCCAAACCGACACAGGUGGUCAGGUAGAGAAUACCAAGGCGCUUGAGAGAACUCGGGUGAAGGAACUAGGCAAAAUGGUGCCGUAACUUCGGGAGAAGGCACGC
Molecule: ribosomal RNA, 337 nt
Filed under: Escherichia coli
Lineage: Bacteria; Pseudomonadati; Pseudomonadota; Gammaproteobacteria; Enterobacterales; Enterobacteriaceae
Also listed under: 1 other name
Description: partial 23S ribosomal RNA
Rfam family: Bacterial large subunit ribosomal RNA
Source: RNAcentral